GCAGCAGCCCGGGAAUACAGAGGGUGCGAGCGUUAAUCGGAUUUACUGGGCGUAAAGCGUGCGUAGGCGGCUUUUUAAGUCGGAUGUGAAAUCCCUGAGCUUAACUUAGGAAUUGCAUUCGAUACUGGGAAGCUAGAGUAUGGGAGAGGAUGGUAGAAUUCCAGGUGUAGCGGUGAAAUGCGUAGAGAUCUGGAGGAAUACCGAUGGCGAAGGCAGCCAUCUGGCCUAAUACUGACGCUGAGGUACGAAAGCAUGGGGAGCAAACAGGAUUAGAGACCCCGGUAGUCCCUGUCUCUUAUACA
This 302-nucleotide ribosomal RNA is filed under the name uncultured bacterium. RNAcentral's name for it is "partial 16S ribosomal RNA". It matches the Rfam family "Bacterial small subunit ribosomal RNA", at positions 508 to 808 of the family's 1533-position model. The record is from RNAcentral.